Molecule: long non-coding RNA, 648 nt
Filed under: Helianthus annuus (common sunflower)
Lineage: Eukaryota; Viridiplantae; Streptophyta; Magnoliopsida; Asterales; Asteraceae
Source: RNAcentral
CCGCCUAAUUUACUCCCCACCCUCCAAACUUCCCUCUAAUUUUUUCAAUUUUUUCCCCAUCAUCGAUCCAUUUUCCCACUCUGUAUAGGGUCACUCCAUUUGCAAGGCAGUGAACGGCAAAAUAACCGUAUGCGUUUUCUCAUUAGCUUCGUCGUCAUAGUUGCUUAACCUUGUGUUAGAGGUGGAAGCGAGUCAGAGUAGUUUGUCCCUCUGCAUAUGCAUCUGAUUCUUCUUCGGGCCCAAAAUGACAUUCUUUAGUAAGGAAAAUGAUUCCAGGUGUGAAACAAAGGAGCAGUUUUAACCAGAUUGACAACCAAUAUGAAAAAAAAAUUGAUCAAGGAAGGGCUUGAAACGGGUACGAUUGUGCGAACCAAUGACAUUAAUCAUUCAAAGGAGAGGGAGGUUGUUGCCUUCAGCUGUUGCUCUUUCUAGCUACGAAGAGAAGGAAGAACAGUUCAAAGAACAGGUGAAGAUGAUCGAAGUGAGUAGGAAAUCUGGGCAUGCUACACAAGCAAAUGACGAAGGAGGUUCACUCGCAUAGUUUAAUGAAAUAUUGUAUUUUUGUUAGUAUUUUUUUUGAAAUAUUGCAUGAAAUAUUGGUUUGUUAGUAUCAACAUUAAGGCAAUACGUAGUGGGGCGCGACCAAGG